Molecule: long non-coding RNA, 1600 nt
Filed under: Vigna radiata
Lineage: Eukaryota; Viridiplantae; Streptophyta; Magnoliopsida; Fabales; Fabaceae
Description: long non-coding RNA (VRAD_LNC012558)
Source: RNAcentral
ACCUCGUGGAGGGUGUAACAACCCUAUGGAUGAUUGAAUGAGGUGUAGUAACCUCGUGGAGGGUGUAACAACCCUAUGGAUGAUUGAAUGGUCGCACGUGUGCUUAAACCUUUCAAAAUAAUUUUUUGUUGAUUGUUUUGUAUUUAUUUUAAAGUAGAUAAAAUAAAAUAAAUAGGUAAAUAAAUAAAUAAAAUAAAAGUGGAAAAAUAGAAAUAGAUAAAUAACUAAGUAAAAUAAAAAGUAAAAAAUAAACUAAAAAUUGACUGAUAAAAUAAUAAGAAAAUAAUAAGUAAGAGGUGUCUAAGUCACUUUGUUUCUAAUAACAGACUGGGCUUAAGCCCAAGUGGACAGGAGGUGUGAAAAUGAAACAAGGGGUUGCAGGGAGGAAGAUUUUUUUUAAAGGCAGAAUGGGCUUAAGCCUAAACAGAAGGGGUGUCAAGAUGGGAAGUGGGGUGUGCUGGGAAGAAUUCUCCUGAGCCCCAACCAAGGGAAUGGACAUGGGGUGUGCAGGUAGAAACGGGCAUGGAACAGUUUUUUUUUUAAAAAGAAAGGAGUUGGAGCCCAACAAUUUGGCCCAAGUGCUUCAGCAGAAGAUUAAGGGUUCUGCCGCCCAUCUCAUUUCACCAUUUGCGCGUUCAGCAACUAAAAGACACAGGUCUCUUCCUCUCUGUAGAAAAACAGAAAAAUCCUAAGACACUCAAACGCCGACAGUCGUGCCGUCUUCACCUCCGUCCGAAUCUGCCACCACGCCGCUCAACCAGCAUUGGCGUCGCCGGCAACAUAACCCCUUUCGAGAGGGAGCAGCGAUUUCACAUCCUUCAUCGCUACGCGUACGCAGUCGUCAACCUACCCCGACUAGCCACUGUGGCAGAUCCCCUACUCCGUCCAAGGCGCCGCCGGCGACCAAACCACUGUAGCUGUCGCCAGCCUAGACGUGAAAUCCCUCUUUCCCCUUCCUCGCGCGAGAACAUGGAAGCGUCAUGCUUCUUCCCUUCAACCGACCACCACCGCGAGUCGCCGUCGUCGCGAGACGCCGUCGUCGCGAGACGCCGUCACAGAAACAACAACUCUUUGUCGGACUACCACUGUGCAACCACCGCGCCUCCGGAAGUCAACGCGAACUCUAGUCGCUGCAGCCACAACAAUCACCACACGAAAAUCCUCUUUUAUUCUCAUUACACUCUGUUCUACCACACACACUCAUUCUAAUUUAGGUUUGAAUCUCACCUUGAUGAGAUUUUACGUGUUCUUGUUGUUUUCCUUGUUUGGGCGUUUGCAGGUUACAGGCCAUGAAUCACUUGGUUUCAAGGAGGAUUUGGCAUAGAGUGUUGUUGUUGUAUAUCUUAGUUUUUGAUUGCUUGAAUGCUUUGCAGUGCGUUUUCUAGGCAUUUCUGGAUGUAAGUAAAGAGGUUAUUGGGGUCUUGCUGUUGGGGAUACAUGUCCAUGUUCCAUUCUCAAUUAAAUAUGAUAGAUUUUGCAGGCAUUGAAACUGCGUUUUGGGUGCAGUUUUGAUUGACAGAGGAUAUCACAAAGUAAGCGAACACAACCAUAUACACGCAUAUUUCAUUCAUAUGUAACAGAGGCAUGUUUCAUUCAUAUC